GGCGUAUGCCCAGGCAGACUGCGAGGGGUUUGUGCUGUGAGACCCAAAGUCCUUAUGAGAUUGUCUGAGACAAAAAGGCACAUCAGCAGGGCCUAUGGUGAUUCUGUGUGUGCCAAGUGUGUCCGUGACAGGAUCAAGCGGGCUUUCCUUAUUGAGGAGCAGAAAAUUGUGAAAGUGUUGAAGGCACAAGCACAGAGUCAGAAAGCAAAAUAAAUACGCAACUUUUUUAAGUAAUAAAAAUCAAGACUUGGGGAGCUGGAGAGAUGGCUCAGCGGUUAAGAGCACCCGACUACUCUUCCAGAGGUCCUGAGUUCAAUUCCCAGCAACCACAUGGUGGCUCACAACCAUCUGUAAAGAGAUCCGAUGCCCUCUUCUGGUGUAUCUGAAGACAGCUACAGUGUACUUAUAUAUAAUAAAUGAAUAAAUCUUU
RNAcentral lists this long non-coding RNA (430 nucleotides) under Rattus norvegicus (Norway rat). RNAcentral describes it as "long non-coding RNA NONRATT022146". The record is from RNAcentral. Lineage: Eukaryota; Metazoa; Chordata; Mammalia; Rodentia; Muridae.